RNAcentral lists this ribosomal RNA (958 nucleotides) under Salmonella enterica subsp. enterica serovar Typhimurium. Its description in RNAcentral is "partial 23S ribosomal RNA". It matches the Rfam family "Bacterial large subunit ribosomal RNA", at positions 830 to 1701 of the family's 2925-position model. The record is from RNAcentral. Lineage: Bacteria; Pseudomonadati; Pseudomonadota; Gammaproteobacteria; Enterobacterales; Enterobacteriaceae.
CAAUCAAACCGGGAGAUAGCUGGUUCUCCCCGAAAGCUAUUUAGGUAGCGCCUCGUGAAUUCAUCUCCGGGGGUAGAGCACUGUUUCGGCUAGGGGGCCAUCCCGGCUUACCAACCCGAUGCAAACUGCGAAUACCGGAGAAUGUUAUCACGGGAGACACACGGCGGGUGCUAACGUCCGUCGUGAAGAGGGAAACAACCCAGACCGCCAGCUAAGGUCCCAAAGUCAUGGUUAAGUGGGAAACGAUGUGGGAAGGCCCAGACAGCCAGGAUGUUGGCUUAGAAGCAGCCAUCAUUUAAAGAAAGCGUAAUAGCUCACUGGUCGAGUCGGCCUGCGCGGAAGAUGUAACGGGGCUAAACCAUGCACCGAAGCUGCGGCAGCGAACGUAUCACCCAAGACAACUUUACGGAGUUGACGAUUGACGGAGCGAAGCGACGUCAAAGCGUUCAUUAAAGUCGAGUUGGCUUAGGGAUACGUUCGUUGGGUAGGGGAGCGUUCUGUAAGCCUGUGAAGGUGUGUCGUGAGGCAUGCUGGAGGUAUCAGAAGUGCGAAUGCUGACAUAAGUAACGAUAAAGCGGGUGAAAAGCCCGCUCGCCGGAAGACCAAGGGUUCCUGUCCAACGUUAAUCGGGGCAGGGUGAGUCGACCCCUAAGGCGAGGCCGAAAGGCGUAGUCGAUGGGAAACGGGUUAAUAUUCCCGUACUUGGUGUUACUGCGAAGGGGGGACGGAGAAGGCUAUGUUGGCCGGGCGACGGUUGUCCCGGUUUAAGCGUGUAGGUGUGUGUUCCAGGUAAAUCCGGUUCACUUUAACACUGAGGCGUGACGACGAGGCACUACGGUGCUGAAGCAACAAAUGCCCUGCUUCCAGGAAAAGCCUCUAAGCAUCAGGUAACACGAAAUCGUACCCCAAACCGACACAGGUGGUCAGGUAGAGAAUACCAAGGCGCUUGAGAGAACUC